Molecule: ribosomal RNA, 860 nt
Filed under: Enterococcus faecalis
Lineage: Bacteria; Bacillati; Bacillota; Bacilli; Lactobacillales; Enterococcaceae
Description: bacterial SSU rRNA
Rfam family: Bacterial small subunit ribosomal RNA
Source: RNAcentral
GGAACGAUGAUCGGAUUAUUGGGCGUAAGCGAGCGCAGGCGGCUUCUCUAAGUCUGAUGUGAAUCCCCCCGGCUCAACCGGGGAGGGUCAUUGGAAAACUGGGAGACUUGAGUGCAGUAAGAGGAGAGUGGAAUUCCAUGUGUAGCGGUGAAAUGCGUAGAUAUAUGGAGGAACACCGGUGGCGAAGGCGGCUCUCUGGUCUGUAACUGACGCUGAGGCUCGAAAGCGUGGGGAGCAAACAGGAUUAGAUACCCUGGUAGUCCACGCCGUAAACGAUGAGUGCUAAGUGUUGGAGGGUUUCAGCCCUUCAGUGCUGCACCAAACGCAUUAAGCGCUCCGCCUGGGGGGUAGGACCGCAGGGUUAAAACUCAAAGGAAUUGACGGGGCCCCGCACAACCGUGGAACAAGGUGUUUAAUUUCGAGCCACCGGAAAAAACCUAACCGGGUCUUGAAAUCCUUUGACCAUUCUGAAGUUAGAGUUUUCCUUUCGGGAACAAAGUGAAGGGGGGGGCAGGGUUGUGGUCGGCUCGGGUGGGGAAAGGUUGGUUUAGGUCCCCGAACCGGGCGCACCCCUUAAUCGUUUGUUUGCCAUCAUUUAGGUCGGGCACCUCUACCGAGACUGGCCGGUGACAAACCGGAGGAAGGUGGGGAUGACGUCAAAUCAUUCAUGCCCCUUAUGACCUGGGCUACACACGUGCUACAAUGGGAAGUACAACGAGUCGCUAGACCGCGAGGAUCAUGCAAAUCUCUUAAAGCUUCUCUCAGUUCGGAUUGCAGGCUGCACUCGCCUGCAUGAAGCCGGAAUCGCUAGUAAUCGCGGAUCAACACGCCACGGUGAUAUCUCUCUCCCGGGGUAUAAA